RNAcentral lists this ribosomal RNA (497 nucleotides) under uncultured bacterium. Its description in RNAcentral is "partial 16S ribosomal RNA". It matches the Rfam family "Bacterial small subunit ribosomal RNA", at positions 28 to 507 of the family's 1533-position model. The record is from RNAcentral.
GAUGAACGCUGGCGGCGUGCCUAAUACAUGCAAGUCGAGCGAACAGAUGAGGAGCUUGCUCCUCUGACGUUAGCGGCGGACGGGUGAGUAACACGUGGAUAACCUACCUAUAAGACUGGGAUAACUUCGGGAAACCGGAGCUAAUACCGGAUAAUAUAUUGAACCGCAUGGUUCAAUAGUGAAAGACGGUUUUGCUGUCACUUAUAGAUGGAUCCGCGCCGCAUUAGCUAGUUGGUAAGGUAACGGCUUACCAAGGCAACGAUGCGUAGCCGACCUGAGGGGGUGAUCGGCCACACGGGAUCUGAGACACGGUCCAGACUCCGACGGGGGGCAGCAGUAGGGAAUCUUCCGCAAGGGGCGAAAGCCUAACGUAGCAACGCCGCGUGAGGGAUGAAGGUCUUCUGAUCGUAAAACUCUGUUAUUAGGGAAGAACAAAUGUGUAAGUAACUGUGCACGUCUUGACGGUACCUAAUCAGAAAGCCACGGCUAACUACGUG